RNAcentral lists this ribosomal RNA (253 nucleotides) under uncultured bacterium. Its description in RNAcentral is "partial 16S ribosomal RNA". It matches the Rfam family "Bacterial small subunit ribosomal RNA", at positions 524 to 776 of the family's 1533-position model. The record is from RNAcentral.
GACGGAGGGUGCAAGCGUUGCUCGGAAUCACUGGGCGUAAAGGGUGCGUAGGCGGUCUCGCAAGUCUGGCGUGAAAGCCCAAGGCUCAGCCUUGGAAGUGCGCUCGAAACGGCGAGGCUGGAGUGCCGGAGGGGAGAGUGGAAUUCCCUGUGUAGCGGUGAAAUGCGUAGAGAUGGGGGAGAACACUCGUGGCGAAGGCGGCCAGCUAGACCAGUUCUGACACUGAGGCGCGACAGCGUGGGGAGCAAACAGG